GAGGAAUAUUGGUCAAUGGACGCAAGUCUGAACCAGCCAUGCCGCGUGCAGGAUGACGGUCCUAUGGAUUGUAAACUGCUUUUGUACAGGAAGAAACCCUCUUUCGUGAAAGAGAUUGACGGUACUGUAAGAAUAAGGAUCGGCUAACUCCGUGCCAGCAGCCGCGGUAAUACGGAGGAUCCAAGCGUUAUCCGGAAUCAUUGGGUUUAAAGGGUCCGUAGGCGGUUUUGUAAGUCAGUGGUGAAAUCUGGUCGCUCAACGAUCAAACGGCCAUUGAUACUGCAAGACUUGAAUUACUAGGAAGUAACUAGAAUAUGUAGUGUAGCGGUGAAAUGCUUAGAUAUUACAUGGAAUACCAAUUGCGAAGGCAGGUUACUACUAGUGGAUUGACGCUGAUGGACGAAAGCGUGGGGAGCGAAC
Molecule: ribosomal RNA, 420 nt
Filed under: uncultured bacterium
Lineage: Bacteria
Description: bacterial SSU rRNA
Rfam family: Bacterial small subunit ribosomal RNA
Source: RNAcentral